GUCCUCAUGGUUUUUUAUGAGGUCUUACCUGCCCAGUGAAAUUUUAACGGCCGCGGUAUUUUGACCGUGCAAAGGUAGCAUAAUCAUUAGUCUUUUAAUAGGAGGCUGGAAUGAAAGGUUUGACGAGGCAGUAACUGUCUCGAUUCAAUUUUUUGAAUUUAGCUUUUUGGUCAAAAGGCUUAAAUGUUUUUGGAAGACGAGAAGACCCUAUAGAGCUUUAAAGUUGAUUUUAUUAGUUUAUUUUUUUUAUUAUUUUAUUAAUUUAUUUAAUUUUUUUGUUGGGGUGACAAAAAUAUAUAUUUAACUUUUAUUAUUUAUUACACAUUUAUGUAUGAUUACUAGAUCCUUUAUUAUUGAUUAUUAGAACAAGUUACCUUAGGGAUAACAGCGUAAUCUUCCUUCAGAGUUCAAAUUUACAGGAAGGCUUGCGACCUCGAUGUUGGAUUAAGAUAAUUGUUAGGUGUAGAGGCUUAACUAAUAGGUCUGUUCGACCUUUAAAUUCUUACAUGAUCUGAGUUCAGACCGG
Molecule: ribosomal RNA, 526 nt
Filed under: Vestalis amabilis
Lineage: Eukaryota; Metazoa; Arthropoda; Insecta; Odonata; Calopterygidae
Description: partial 16S ribosomal RNA
Rfam family: Archaeal large subunit ribosomal RNA
Source: RNAcentral